UUGCCAGCAUUCAGUUGGGCACUUUAAAGAGACUGCCGGUGUUAAACCGGAGGAAGGUGGGAUGACGUCAAGUCCUCAUGGCCUUUAUGCUUAGGGCUACACACGUGCUACAAUGGGUGGUACAAAGAGAAGCCAACUCGCGAGAGCGCGCCAAUCUCAAAAAGCCAUCCUCAGUUCGGAUUGGAGUCUGCAACUCGACUCCAUGAAGUUGGAAUCGCUAGUAAUCGCGGAUCAGCAUGCCCGCGGUCCGAAUACGUUCCGGGCCUU
RNAcentral lists this ribosomal RNA (267 nucleotides) under uncultured Smithella sp. Its description in RNAcentral is "partial 16S ribosomal RNA". It matches the Rfam family "Bacterial small subunit ribosomal RNA", at positions 1115 to 1382 of the family's 1533-position model. The record is from RNAcentral. Lineage: Bacteria; Pseudomonadati; Thermodesulfobacteriota; Syntrophia; Syntrophales; Smithellaceae.